RNAcentral lists this non-coding RNA (737 nucleotides) under Geoscapheus dilatatus. RNAcentral's name for it is "12S ribosomal RNA". The stretch from base 324 to 730 matches the Rfam family "Microsporidia small subunit ribosomal RNA", at positions 752 to 1303 of the family's 1311-position model. The record is from RNAcentral. Lineage: Eukaryota; Metazoa; Arthropoda; Insecta; Blattodea; Blaberidae.
CAAAAUUUUAUUUUAAUAAUUUCUUAAUGAAUUAAUUUAAUUUCUUGAGCAGUAAUAAAUAUUGAAUAAUAAAGGGGAUUUUGAUUUAGUUAUUUUUGUUAGUAUUGAUUAAAUAUGUGCCAGCAGUCGCGGUUAUACAUAAGAUGCAAGUAAGUAUUUUUAGUUAUGUAGUUUAUUUAUUAUUUUAAUUUAGUUUAAUGAUUUUUAGGUAAAAUUUAAAUUUUUGUUUUUGUUUUAAGUUUAUGUUAGAUGAGGCUGUGAAAUCUAAAUUAUUUAAACUAGGAUUAGAUACCCUAUUAUUUUAGAUUUAAAGAUUUAAACUUGAGUAGUAUUAGUUAUGGUCUUGAAACUUAAAGAAUUUGGCGGUAUUUUAGUCUAGUUAGAGGAAUCUGUCCCGUAAUCGAUAAUCCACGUUGAACCUUACUUAAUAUAAUUUAAUAUGUAUAUCGCCGUUUAUUUGAAGAUCUUUUUAGGGAGAAUCUUCUUUAUAUUUUAAUUGAUUUUAUUUCAGGUCAAGGUGCAGUUAAUAAUUGAGUGGUGAUGGAUUACAAUAUUUGUAAAAUAAAUGAAUUAGAGUUUGAAAAUACUUUAUGAAGGAGGAUUUAAUAGUAAUUAAUAAUAAGAAUUAUUUUUGUGAUACUAGCUCUGAAAUGUGUACACAUCGCCCGUCACUCUCGUUAUUAAGAUGAGAUAAGUCGUAACAAAGUAGGUGUACCGGAAGGUGUAGCUAGAUUGAU